AUGCAUGAUCAGGUCGGCCUGGACCUGGACGGCUUCCCACUCGACCACGAGUUUCCGAAGGACUACGGGCAAGAGGAAGAGGACGAGAGCUACAUCGAAGGGGAGCCUUUUUCUGAGGAUGAGCUCACCAACCAAGCCGCCGGGGUGAAGCCGAAGCAGAAGAGCAAGCGGACCAAGGCAUACACGGCGGCCGAGGAGAAGCUUAUUUGUGAGUGUUGGAGAGACAUUGGCCAAGACCCCAAGACGGGCGCCGAACAAAAGAAUUCAACUUUUUGGAUUCGCGUCCACCGUGAGUUCCAUGAGCGCAAGAAGUAUCCGCCGUACCAAAUCGUAGGCACGCGCGGGUGGGUGUCCAUUUCGAAGUGA
RNAcentral lists this ribosomal RNA (366 nucleotides) under Triticum aestivum (bread wheat). Its description in RNAcentral is "partial small subunit ribosomal RNA". Lineage: Eukaryota; Viridiplantae; Streptophyta; Magnoliopsida; Poales; Poaceae. The record is from RNAcentral.